This 1372-nucleotide ribosomal RNA is filed under the name uncultured bacterium. RNAcentral describes it as "bacterial SSU rRNA". It matches the Rfam family "Bacterial small subunit ribosomal RNA", at positions 28 to 1381 of the family's 1533-position model. The record is from RNAcentral.
GAUGAACGCUGGCGGCGUGCCUAAUACAUGCAAGUCGAGCGAACGGACGAGAAGCUUGCUUCUCUGAUGUUAGCGGCGGACGGGUGAGUAACACGUGGAUAACCUACCUAUAAGACUGGGAUAACUUCGGGAAACCGGAGCUAAUACCGGAUAAUAUUUUGAACCGCAUGGUUCAAAAGUGAAAGACGGUCUUGCUGUCACUUAUAGAUGGAUCCGCGCUGCAUUAGCUAGUUGGUAAGGUAACGGCUUACCAAGGCAACGAUGCAUAGCCGACCUGAGAGGGUGAUCGGCCACACUGGAACUGAGACACGGUCCAGACUCCUACGGGAGGCAGCAGUAGGGAAUCUUCCGCAAUGGGCGAAAGCCUGACGGAGCAACGCCGCGUGAGUGAUGAAGGUCUUCGGAUCGUAAAACUCUGUUAUUAGGGAAGAACAUAUGUGUAAGUAACUGUGCACAUCUUGACGGUACCUAAUCAGAAAGCCACGGCUAACUACGUGCCAGCAGCCGCGGUAAUACGUAGGUGGCAAGCGUUAUCCGGAAUUAUUGGGCGUAAAGCGCGCGUAGGCGGUUUUUUAAGUCUGAUGUGAAAGCCCACGGCUCAACCGUGGAGGGUCAUUGGAAACUGGAAAACUUGAGUGCAGAAGAGGAAAGUGGAAUUCCACGUGUAGCGGUGAAAUGCGCAGAGAUAUGGAGGAACACCAGUGGCGAAGGCGACUUUCUGGUCUGUAACUGACGCUGAUGUGCGAAAGCGUGGGGAUCAAACAGGAUUAGAUACCCUGGUAGUCCACGCCGUAAACGAUGAGUGCUAAGUGUUAGGGGGUUUCCGCCCCUUAGUGCUGCAGCUAACGCAUUAAGCACUCCGCCUGGGGAGUACGACCGCAAGGUUGAAACUCAAAGGAAUUGACGGGGACCCGCACAAGCGGUGGAGCAUGUGGUUUAAUUCGAAGCAACGCGAAGAACCUUACCAAAUCUUGACAUCCUUUGACAACUCUAGAGAUAGAGCCUUCCCCUUCGGGGGACAAAGUGACAGGUGGUGCAUGGUUGUCGUCAGCUCGUGUCGUGAGAUGUUGGGUUAGGUCCCGCAACGAGCGCAACCCUUAAGCUUAGUUGCCAUCAUUAAGUUGGGCACUCUAAGAUGACUGCCGGUGACAAACCGGAGGAAGGUGGGGAUGACGUCAAAUCAUCAUGCCCCUUAUGAUUUGGGCUACACACGUGCUACAAUGGACAAUACAAAGGGCAGCGAAACCGCGAGGUCAAGCAAAUCCCAUAAAGUUGUUCUCAGUUCGGAUUGUAGUCUGCAACUCGACUACAUGAAGCUGGAAUCGCUAGUAAUCGUAGAUCAGCAUGCUACGGUGAAUACGUUCCCGGGUCU